ACAUGCAAGUCGAGCGGACAGAUGGGAGCUUGCUCCCUGAUGUUAGCGGCGGACGGGUGAGUAACACGUGGGUAACCUGCCUGUAAGACUGGGAUAACUCCGGGAAACCGGGGCUAAUACCGGAUGGUUGUUUGAACCGCAUGGUUCAGACAUAAAAGGUGGCUUCGGCUACCACUUACAGAUGGACCCGCGGCGCAUUAGCUAGUUGGUGAGGUAACGGCUCACCAAGGCGACGAUGCGUAGCCGACCUGAGAGGGUGAUCGGCCACACUGGGACUGAGACACGGCCCAGACUCCUACGGGAGGCAGCAGUAGGGAAUCUUCCGCAAUGGACGAAAGUCUGACGGAGCAACGCCGCGUGAGUGAUGAAGGUUUUCGGAUCGUAAAGCUCUGUUGUUAGGGAAGAACAAGUGCCGUUCAAAUAGGGCGGCACCUUGACGGUACCUAACCAGAAAGCCACGGCUAACUACGUG
This 472-nucleotide ribosomal RNA is filed under the name Bacillus amyloliquefaciens. RNAcentral's name for it is "bacterial SSU rRNA". It matches the Rfam family "Bacterial small subunit ribosomal RNA", at positions 53 to 507 of the family's 1533-position model. The record is from RNAcentral. Lineage: Bacteria; Bacillati; Bacillota; Bacilli; Caryophanales; Bacillaceae.